This 74-nucleotide transfer RNA is filed under the name Felis catus (domestic cat). It matches the Rfam family "tRNA". From Rfam's summary of the family: Transfer RNA (tRNA) molecules are approximately 80 nucleotides in length. Their secondary structure includes four short double-helical elements and three loops (D, anti-codon, and T loops). Further hydrogen bonds mediate the characteristic L-shaped molecular structure. tRNAs have two regions of fundamental functional importance: the anti-codon, which is responsible for specific mRNA codon recognition, and the 3' end, to which the tRNAs corresponding amino acid is attached (by aminoacyl-tRNA synthetases). tRNAs cope with the degeneracy of the genetic code in two manners: having more than one tRNA (with a specific anti-codon) for a particular amino acid; and 'wobble' base-pairing, i.e. permitting non-standard base-pairing at the 3rd anti-codon position. Lineage: Eukaryota; Metazoa; Chordata; Mammalia; Carnivora; Felidae. The record is from Rfam by way of RNAcentral. RNAcentral also lists the same sequence under 4 other names.
GCCUGGCUGGCUCAGUCGGUAAAGCAUGUGACUCUUGAUCUCAGGGUUGUGAAUUCAAAGCCCCAUGUUGGGCA